RNAcentral lists this unclassified non-coding RNA (397 nucleotides) under Hevea brasiliensis (rubber tree). The record is from RNAcentral. Lineage: Eukaryota; Viridiplantae; Streptophyta; Magnoliopsida; Malpighiales; Euphorbiaceae.
GGGAGUGCAAGUUUUACAAGGAGGAGUUGUCAAACAGUCCUUGAAGCCCAUUUGCUUUCAAUUGGAAGGAUAAUUGCUCCCAUCUUACCCCAUUUGGCCGAGGAUAUGUGGCAGCAUCUUCCUUUUCAGUAUACUGCUGAAGAUGGGCAUGUUGCUAAAUUUGUUUUUGAGUCAAGAUGGCCUGAACUAGAUACAGAGUACCUUUCCUUUCCAGAGGAAGAAGUUGACUUUUGGGGAAAAAUUCUUGAGCUAAGGACGGAAGUUAACAAAGCAUUAGAGGUAGCUCGAAGUGGAAAAUUGAUUGGUUCCAGUUUAGAGGCCAAGGUGUAUCUCCAUUGUUCUAAUGAAAGACUGGCUGAGAGACUAAACAACAUGUGCGAACCUACAAAUGAGGCAG